CCUACGGGUGGCAGCAGUGGGGGAUAUUGCACAAUGGGGGAAACCCUGAUGCAGCGACGCCGCGUGAGUGAAGAAGUAUUUCGGUAUGUAAAGCUCUAUCAGCAGGGAAGAAAAUGACAGUACCUGACCAAGAAGCCCCGGCUAACUACGUGCCAGCAGCCGCGGUAAUACGUAGGGGGCAAGCGUUAUCCGGAUUUACUGGGUGUAAAGGGGGCGUAGACGGGUAUGUAAGUCUGGGGUGAAAGCCCGUGGCCCAACCCCGGGACUGCUUUGGAAACUGUGUAACUGGAGUGCAGGAGGGGCAGGCGGAAUUCCUGGUGUAGCGGUGAAAUGCGUAGAUAUCAGGAGGAACACCGGCGGCGAAGGCGGCCUGCUGGACUGAAACUGACGUUGAGGCUCGAAAGCGUGGGGAGCAAACAGGAUUAGAUACCCUAGUAGUC
RNAcentral lists this ribosomal RNA (440 nucleotides) under uncultured bacterium. RNAcentral's name for it is "partial 16S ribosomal RNA". It matches the Rfam family "Bacterial small subunit ribosomal RNA", at positions 338 to 795 of the family's 1533-position model. The record is from RNAcentral.